Molecule: ribosomal RNA, 3762 nt
Filed under: Actinomycetota bacterium
Lineage: Bacteria; Bacillati; Actinomycetota
Description: Actinobacteria bacterium 23S ribosomal RNA
Rfam family: Bacterial large subunit ribosomal RNA
Source: RNAcentral
CCAAGCUACUAAGGGCAUACGGUGGAUGCCUAGGCGCCAGGAGCCGAGGAAGGACGUGGUAGGCUGCGAUAAGCUUCGGGGAGCCGCCGAACAGGCUUUGAUCCGGAGAUCUCCGAAUGGGGGAACCCACCGGUGGUAAUGCGCCGGUACCCACGCCUGAACACAUAGGGCGUGCGGAGGCAAGCGGGGGAACUGAAACAUCUAAGUACCCCGAGGAAAAGAAAGCAACCGCGAUUCCCCGAGUAGCGGCGAGCGAAAAGGGAAGAGCCCAAACCCGGCGGAUGCAUAAGCCCGCAGGCGUUGUCCGUCGGGGGUUGUAGGACCCGCCAGGUGCCGCUGCGGAGGCACCGGGGAGUCACAAAGUCCGUCUCUAGUCGAAGGGUUCUGGAAAGUCCCGCCACAGAGGGUGACAGCCCCGUAGGCGAAAGGGGCGGACCUCCCGGCGGUGUUCCUGAGUACGGCGGGACCGGGGAAAUCCCGUCGGAAUCAGCGGGCACCACCCCGCAAGGCUAAAUACUCCCUGGCGACCGAUAGUGGACUAGUACCGUGAGGGAAAGGUGAAAAGCACCCCGGGAGGGGAGUGAAAUAGAACCUGAAACCGUAUGCCUACAAACCGUCAGAGCGGCCUCGUGCCGUGAUGGCGUGCUUUUUGUAGAAUGAGCCGGCGAGUUACCGGUACGCAGCGAGGUUAAGGGUUAACCCGGAGCCGUAGCGAAAGCGAGUCUGAACAGGGCGUUCAGUUGCGUGCCGUAAACCCGAAGCCGAGUGAUCUACCCAUGGGCAGGUUGAAGCGAGGGUAAGACCUCGUGGAGGACCGAACCCACUUCGGUUGAAAACGGAGGGGAUGACCUGUGGGUAGGGGUGAAAGGCCAAUCAAACUCGGAGAUAGCUGGUUCUCCCCGAAAUAGCUUUUGGGCUAGCCUCGGGUGUUCAGCCAUGGUGGUAGAGCACUGAUUGGACUAGGGGCCUUCACCGGUUACCAAACCCAGUCAAACUCCGAAUGCCAUGGCUCCAGAGCCCGGGAGUCAGACCGUGGGGGAUAAGCUCCAUGGUCGAGAGGGAAACAGCCCAGACCGCCAGCUAAGGUCCCCAAAUUCGGGCUAAGUGGGAAAGGAUGUGAGACCGCCCAGACAGCCAGGAUGUUGGCUUAGAAGCAGCCAUCAUUUAAAGAGUGCGUAAUAGCUCACUGGUCAAGUGGUUUCGCGCCGAAAAUGUAGCGGGGCUCAAGCCCGGUACCGAAGCUGCGGCAUCGCGCCCUUCGGGACGCGGUGGGUAGGGGAGCAUUCCCUGGGGAGCGAAGUCGACCCGUAAGGGCUUCCCGCAUGGGAUUAAUCGAUGGACCGCAGGGAAGAGAGAAUGCCGGCAUGAGUAGCGAGAGACGGGUGAGAAACCCGUCCGCCGAAAGCCCAAGGGUUCCUGGGGAAGGUUAAUCCGCCCAGGGUUAGUCGGGACCUAAGGCGAGGCCGAGAGGCGUAGUCGAUGGACAACCGGUUUAUAUUCCGGUACCACCAGCCGGCGCCUGAGCGAUGGGGGGACGCGGAAGGAUAGGCGAACCGCGGCGAUGGUCGACCGCGGGCAAGCGUGUAGGGUGCCGCCGAGUCAAAUGCUUGGCGGCAUAAAAGCCUGAGGCGUGAUGCCGACCCGCUUAUAGGGGAAGUCGCUGAAUCCAUGCCGCCGAGAAAAGCCCCUAGCGAGCCGUCUGGUGCCCGUACCCCAAACCGACACAGGUGGGCGAGUAGAGAAUACUAAGGCGAUCGAGUGAACCCUCGUUAAGGAACUCGGCAAAUUGGCCCCGUAACUUCGGGAGAAGGGGCGCCCCGCUAGCGUGACGGGACUCGCUCCCUGAGCGCGAGGGGGCCGCAGUGACCAGGCCCAAGCGACUGUUUACUAAAAACACAGGUCUCUGCUAAGUCGUAAGACGACGUAUAGGGGCUGACGCCUGCCCGGUGCCGGAAGGUUAAGGGGAAGGGUCAGCGGCCGGCUUCGGCCGGCGCGCGAAGCUCCGAACCUAAGCCCCGGUGAACGGCGGCCGUAAGAGAGUUGCGGCCCCAUCCGGGUAACCGGAUGGGACAAACCCGGCUAUAUGCUGGAAACUCCGAGUAUCUCCGGGUACUAGCCUCCAACCCCCGGAGGCAGUGACAAUCCCAGGAGUGCGGACGAUCAGCAGGAAAGGCCCGGAAGGCGAGGGUCUCAGGAAAGGAAGGUGAACGUUGGGCUAUGAUCCCAAGAAGGUGCCGCCCGAGGUAGGCUGGUACCUGGCAGGCUUCGCUGACGGCGAAGGGAGCUUCAACGUCAGCUUCAGGCCGCGCAGGGAUUACCGCCAGCCAUGGAAAAUAUCUCUUUGCUUCAACAUCUCACAGAGGGACAAGGUGAUACUCACGCAGUACAAGAGAUAUCUCCAGUGCGGCACCAUGAGACGGCGAUCAGACGGGGUAUGGUAUUACGAGGUCAAUAACCUUAAUGCCAUACUGGAGCACGUGAUCCCUUUCUUCGAGACCUACCGCUUCAGAUCGGCGAAGAAGAAGCGGGAUUUCAGCAAGUUCAAGAAGAUAGCCCGCAUCGUCGCCGAGGGUCGUCAUCUGACCGAGGAGGGCGUUCGGGAAAUCCUGAAGGUCCGAAAGGAUAUGAACGACGGCGGCAAGCGGAGAUACCGGGAGGAGGAGAUCCUCGCCAGAUUCGAUUCCGGGAAUCCUCAGAGGCCAUACGCCGGGCCCCUGGAAUGAAACCAGGGUGAAGAUAUGGUCCACCCCUCGUGGCGACGCGGGGAAAAGGUGAACUAUAACGGUCCUAAGGUAGCGAAAUUCCUUGUCGGGUAAGUUCCGACCUGCACGAAUGGCGUAACGACUUGGGCGCUGUCUCAACGAGGGACUCGGCGAAAUUGCACUGCCCGUGAAGAUGCGGGCUACCUGCAGCAGGACGGAAAGACCCCGUGAACCUUUACUGCAGCCUGAUAUUGGGUUCUGGUUCAUCAUGUGCAGGAUAGGUGGGAGGCUGUGAAGCGGGGACGCCAGUUCCCGUGGAGCCGUCCUUGGGAUACCACUCUUGGUGUGCUGGGGCUCUAACCGGCAGCCGUUAUCCGGUUGCGGGACAGUGUCAGGUGGGCAGUUUGACUGGGGCGGUCGCCUCCUAAAAGGUAACGGAGGCGCCCAAAGGUUCCCUCAAGCUGGUCGGCAAUCAGCUGUAGAGUGUAAGGGCAGAAGGGAGCUUGACUGCGAGACCCACAAGUCGAGCAGGUGCGAAAGCAGGGCCUAGUGAUCCGGCGGCAUCAAGUGGGAGAGCCGUCGCUCAACGGAUAAAAGGUACUCCGGGGAUAACAGGCUUAUCUCCCCCAAGAGUCCACAUCGACGGGGAGGUUUGGCACCUCGAUGUCGGCUCAUCGCAUCCUGGGGCUGGAGUAGGUCCCAAGGGUUGGGCUGUUCGCCCAUUAAAGCGGUACGCGAGCUGGGUUUAGAACGUCGUGAGACAGUUCGGUCCCUAUCCGCUGCAGGCGCAGGAGAAUUGAGGGGAGUUGCCCCCAGUACGAGAGGACCGGGGUGAACGGACCUCUGGUGUGCCAGUUGUCCCGCCAGGGGCACGGCUGGUUGGCCACGUCCGGAUCGGAUAACCGCUGAAAGCAUCUAAGCGGGAAGCCGACCCCAAGAUCAGUUCUCCCACCGGGAAACCGGGUAAGACCCCUCGCAGAACACGAGGUUGAUAGGCCGGAUGUGGAAGCGCGGCAACGCGUGGAGCUGACCGGUACUAAUAGGUCGAGGGCUUGGUUCC